This 329-nucleotide unclassified non-coding RNA is filed under the name soil metagenome. RNAcentral describes it as "partial contains 5.8S ribosomal RNA, internal transcribed spacer 2, and large subunit ribosomal RNA". The stretch from base 1 to 120 matches the Rfam family "5.8S ribosomal RNA", at positions 35 to 154 of the family's 154-position model. The record is from RNAcentral.
GAUGAAGAACGCAGCGAAAUGCGCUAAGUAAUGUGAAUUGCAGAAUUCAGUGAAUCAUCGAAUCUUUGAACGCACAUUGCGCCCUCUGGUAUUCCGGGGGGCAUGCCUGUUCGAGCGUCAUUAUAACCACUCAAGCUCUCGCUUGGUAUUGGGGUUCGCGGUUCCGCGGCCCCUAAAAUCAGUGGCGGUGCCUGUCGGCUCUACGCGUAGUAAUACUCCUCGCGAUUGAGUCCGGUAGGUCUACUUGCCAGCAACCCCCAAUUUUUACAGGUUGACCUCGGAUCAGGUAGGGAUACCCGCUGAACUUAAGCAUAUCAAUAAGCGGAGGA